Molecule: ribosomal RNA, 451 nt
Filed under: uncultured bacterium
Lineage: Bacteria
Description: partial 16S ribosomal RNA
Rfam family: Bacterial small subunit ribosomal RNA
Source: RNAcentral
AACGAACGCUGGCGGCAGGCUUAACACAUGCAAGUCGAACGGGCAUAGCAAUAUGUCAGUGGCAGACGGGUGAGUAACACGUGGGAACCUUCCUAGAGGUACGGAACAACGCAGGGAAACUUGUGCUAAUACCGUAUACGCUCGAGAGAGGAAAGAUUUAUCGCCUUUAGACGGGCCCGCGUAGGAUUAGGUAGUUGGUGAGGUAACGGCUCACCAAGCCUACGAUCCUUAGCUGAUCUGAGAGGAUGAUCAGCCACACUGGGACUGAGACACGGCCCAGACUCCUACGGGAGGCAGCAGUGGGGAAUCUUGGACAAUGGGCGCAAGCCUGAUCCAGCCAUGCCGCGUGAGUGAAGAAGGCCUUCGGGUUGUAAAGCUCUUUUACCAGGGACGAUAAUGACGGUACCUGGAGAAUAAGCCCCGGCUAACUUCGUGCCAGCCGCCGCCGUAA